Molecule: ribosomal RNA, 497 nt
Filed under: uncultured bacterium
Lineage: Bacteria
Description: partial 16S ribosomal RNA
Rfam family: Bacterial small subunit ribosomal RNA
Source: RNAcentral
GAUGAACGCUGGCGGCGUGCCUAAUACAUGCAAGUCGAGCGAACAGACGAGGAGCUUGCUCCUCUGACGUUAGCGGCGGACGGGUGAGUAACACGUGGAUAACCUACCUAUAAGACUGGGAUAACUUCGGGAAACCGGAGCUAAUACCGGAUAAUAUAUUGAACCGCAUGAUUCAAUAGUGAAAGACGGUUUUGCUGUCACUUAUAGAUGGAUCCGCGCCGCAUUAGCUAGUUGGUAAGGUAACGGCUUACCAAGGCAACGAUGCGUAGCCGACCUGAGAGGGUGAUCGGCCACACUGGAACUGAGACACGGUCCAGACUCCUACGGGAGGCAGCAGUAGGGAAUCUUCCGCAAUGGGCGAAAGCCUAACGGAGCAACGCCGCGUGAGUGAUGAAGGUCUUCGGAUCGUAAAACUCUGUUAUUAGGGAAGAACAAAUGUGUAAGUAACUAUGCACGUCUUGACGGUACCUAAUCAGAAAGCCACGGCUAACUACGUG